RNAcentral lists this ribosomal RNA (253 nucleotides) under uncultured bacterium. RNAcentral describes it as "partial 16S ribosomal RNA". It matches the Rfam family "Bacterial small subunit ribosomal RNA", at positions 524 to 776 of the family's 1533-position model. The record is from RNAcentral.
UACAGAGGUCUCAAGCGUUGUUCGGAUUCAUUGGGCGUAAAGGGUGCGUAGGCGGCGCGGUAAGUCGGGUGUGAAAUCUCGGGGCUUAACCCCGAAACUGCAUUCGAUACUGCGGUGCUCGAGGACUGGAGAGGAGACUGGAAUUCACGGUGUAGCAGUGAAAUGCGUAGAGAUGCGGAGGAACACCGAUGGCGAAGGCAGCCCCCUGGGUCGACACUGACGCUCAGGCACGAAAGCGUGGGGAGCAAACAGG